Molecule: ribosomal RNA, 341 nt
Filed under: Pheidole spadonia
Lineage: Eukaryota; Metazoa; Arthropoda; Insecta; Hymenoptera; Formicidae
Description: partial 12S ribosomal RNA
Source: RNAcentral
UUAUAAGUAAAUUUAAUUAUUAAUAAGAAAUUAAAUGAAAUCAUUAAAUUUAGAAAAUUUGGCGGUAUUUUAAAUAGUUAGAGGAAUUUGUUAAUUAAAUGAUAAUCCACGAAUGGAGUGUCCUAAUAAAAUUUUAUGUAUUGUUGUAUAAAAAUUAUUUUAUAAGAAUGAUAAUUAAUAAAUUUAAUUUAAUUUGAAUUCAAAUCAAAAUGUAGAAUUAUUAGGUUUAAAUGAAUUACAUUUUAAUUUAGUAACAGAAUUAUUUUUUUAAAAGAAUAAUGAAGAAGGAUUUAAUAGUAAGUUAAAAUAAAUUUUUAAACUGAAAUAUAAAUUAAAAUAUG